AUCUAAGCAUGACUCGUCUAACUGAUGCUCAGGCACAAGUACGCAAUCGAGCCCUUGUAUUCCGUACCCUCUCUCUCUCUCUCUCUCUCUCUCUCUCUUCCUUGGCUGCCUUAUCGACUUCGGCCGCCGCCACCACCACCGAGACAGAGACAGAGACAGAGACACUGUGACGGUCGGCAAGAUGAGUCGCUACCACACGAAGCCUCGUCGUAGGCGUCACUCUUCUGAUAGCUCCGACGAUUACAGCUACUCACUUGUGGAGACAAGUCAACCGUUCAUUGAAGGAGAUGGGUCCUUUUAUCUAGCAACUGUGUCAUGCGAUUGUGGCUAAUUCCAAAAAUGGAUGGAGUUUGAAUGAAAUAGGAGCGAGCAAAAUGGAAAAAGUUGCUGGUGUAGGAAGUUGGUAUUGUUCUUCUGAUGGUGAGCAUGACGCAUCUAAUCAUACAAAGAGGUGAAAACAGAACGACAAACCUAAGAAGAACAAGGAAAGGACAAAGGGAAGAGUCAUCGCCACAGACGUCAUAAGCAUAAAGUUAAAGAGGUAGUCCACUAAUCUCUCUGUAGCUCUCGUCUCCAUACUUUUAUCUGUUGUGUGAGCCAUAUAUUAGAGUGUAUGGCAUCAUUAAAUCGAUUGUGAUUCUUAUCAAACAUAAUUUGAUAUAUGGAUUGCUUAUUGUAGGCAGGUUUUGCAGUAAUAUGAAAAAUGAACAACUAAACAAUGCUUCGACAUCUGAUGAGAAAAAUGAUGAGUGCUUUUAUUCAGAAUCGUAGUUUGAGAUAUUAAAUACAGAUAUAUGGCUUAAUUUUCUAAUCACAUGCAUGUGCACCUCAUCUUCCAUGUAAGGGGGCUUGUUCCAUGCUUUUGCUCUUAUCAAUUUGAGAAUGUGGACCUACUUGUUAAUAUAUGGCUAUUUCCAAAGUGAAAACAUUGCUUUAUGAUGUGACAUUGCUGUCAAUUUGAAAAGCAUCAAAUUGAAUAUGAAGAAUGACAUGGCUACCCUGCUAUGGAAAAACAAGUUCAACUUACCAGUAUUUCAACUUGAUGCUUUUCAAUCCAGGUAUUAUAUUUGUCACUAACUGCAGCAGCAAGAGGUAGAUGACUAUUAUAAAGUAGUAGCACAUCUUUAUGGCAUGUCUCAAAAGGAAUAUAUUAAAAAAUAGGCUAAAUUACACUGACCUCCCCUGAGGUUUAAACAAAAUACAACAAGUCUGACAAUUUUGGCAUAAUUACACCGACCUCCCUUCUAAUAAGGCUAAAAGAACCUGAACUAAUGUAGAUGGUGUGAAGACACAAAGAUAAAUAAGGUAAAUUAUACAUUUAAGUUUAUAAGAAAUGACGACAUCAUUUUUCUAUCCAUAAUUAACAAAUUUUUGAUAUUUGUUAUAAAAAUGGAGCUAAGUGUUAUGUAAAUUAAAAUGAUAAGGGAUCCCAAUGGAAUUAUGCAAACUUGUGAAGCUUAUUAUAUUUUCUCUAAACCUCAAGGGGGUCAGUGUAAUUUACCCUAAAAAAAUAUGUGGCGAGGUGGUGGUGCUUUGGGUUUUUAGCUUGCAUGUGAUUGGAACUUCUACACUAUUGUUUCAUGAAGUUCUGGAAUUUCAUGAGUCAUGCAUACGCGGAAUUAUUGUUAUUUUUUAUAAUAAUAAUCUUUUUUGAUAGAUAAUUGUUUUGUUGUUAUUAUUUGUUAUUGCUGUGACUUGCUUCUGUUUUUUUGGUUUUUUGAAUAUGUUUUCUUCCACAUAUGAGGUGCUUAUAUUGCUUUCUGCCUUUCUAUGGAUGGCUCUUCGAAAUUGGAGCUGGGGUCUGUAACAUGUUGACUACUUCAUCAACUUUACCUGGAUGAUGUUUCUGGCUCGGGGUUGUCCUGAAAAUGGAGCCAUAUAUAGAAUCAGCAGGAUGAGAGAAGUAGCAGCCCUGUGCAACUUUCAAAGUUUCUAGGGUGUGACAAAGAGGAAGAUGUCCGCUGCAAUGUUGUCUGUGGCAAGAAGAUUAUGUUGAAGCUUGAGAAAUCGAAGGAGGACAAGUUGGCAGAAAAUAAGCAAACUGAAUUGCUGAAAUUCUUGAAUGCUAGUUAUGAUUGAUUUUUGGAGUUAGCGUUUGAAGUGAAGGAUUGGUGAUGUGCGCUGCACGUCUGAAGGGAAAGACUCAUGAUCCUCUGGCUUUGCUGAUGACUGAAUUAUGCUGUCCAAUAAUACUUUUGUGUUUGCUAUGUGGUAGAGAAAUGUAUACACUGGUUCUUUGCAGCCUUCAGUGUUUCUUGAGAGUUUUGAUAAGGUGAUAUAUUAUAUGAAAUUGAAGUUAUUUUAUGUGGAUUUUAUCAUUGUUUUGAUACUCAAUUUUUUGGUGUUAUUUAUAUGUAUCCUUGAGAUAGAACAAGAUUUUUAGGCUUUGAGACUGUUAUAAUAUGUUAUGCCAUCUGUUUACUUUGAGA
Molecule: non-coding RNA, 2429 nt
Organism: Camellia sinensis
Lineage: Eukaryota; Viridiplantae; Streptophyta; Magnoliopsida; Ericales; Theaceae
Source: RefSeq, a predicted model, not a curated record